This 587-nucleotide ribosomal RNA is filed under the name uncultured bacterium. Its description in RNAcentral is "bacterial SSU rRNA". It matches the Rfam family "Bacterial small subunit ribosomal RNA", at positions 338 to 916 of the family's 1533-position model. The record is from RNAcentral.
CCUACGGGAGGCAGCAGUGGGGAAUUUUGGACAAUGGGGGCAACCCUGAUCCAGCCAUGCCGCGUGUGUGAAGAAGGCCUUCGGGUUGUAAAGCACUUUCGGCCGGAACGAAAUCGCGCGGGCCAACACCCUGCGUGGAUGACGGUACCGGAAGAAGAAGCACCGGCUAACUACGUGCCAGCAGCCGCGGUAAUACGUAGGGUGCGAGCGUUAAUCGGAAUUACUGGGCGUAAAGUGUGCGCAGGUGGCCGCGCAAGUCGAGUGUGAAAGCCCCGGGCUUAACUUGGGAAUUGCGCUCGAAACUACGUGGCUAGAGUGUGGCAGAGGAAGGUGGAAUUCCACGUGUAGCGGUGAAAUGCGUAGAGAUGUGGAGGAACACCAAUGGCGAAGGCAGCCUUCUGGGCCAACACUGACGCUCAUGCACGAAAGCGUGGGGAGCAAACAGGAUUAGAUACCCUGGUAGUCCACGCCCUAAACGAUGAUGACUAGUUGUUGGGGGAGUUAAAUCCCUUAGUAACGCAGCUAACGCGUGAAGUCAUCCGCCUGGGGAGUACGGUCGCAAGAUUAAAACUCAAAGGAAUUGACGG